This is a long non-coding RNA of Raphanus sativus (radish), 1459 nucleotides long. RefSeq lists it as uncharacterized. The transcript has 5 exons. NCBI's taxonomy places the organism in Eukaryota, Viridiplantae, Streptophyta, Magnoliopsida, Brassicales, Brassicaceae. The record is from RefSeq and is a predicted model, not a curated record.
GUUUGUUGAGGAAGAUGACGAGGAAGAUGACGUGGAAGAAGAGGUUGAAGAGGAAGACGAGGGAGAACUGAACGCGGCGCCGGUUCAGGGGGGAGAUCUGGGCCAUGUUGUUAUCGACAUAGAAGAGGAUGACAUGGCUGCGCCGGUUCAGGUUCCGGGAGUUUUGGAGAUAGAGGAGUUUGAGGAGGAGUUUGAGGAGUAAUCGCUGCUGUUGUCUAGAGAUAUUUACGAUGAGAUGGCUUUACCAAAUGGGGUUCUGACACUUGAACCAAAAGGAGGUCAAUGCUAUCACAACGUGUAUGUAUGUGCCGCUUGAACAUCUAAGUGUGUGUUUCUGGUCUAGAAUCUGAUGUUGGUUUUGGAUCAUCGAAGAAAUUCUUCUCAGCGUCUGUUCCUGGUUCCCGAAUUGUGUCUCGGGUAACUUCACCAAUAUCAAGACGCCUAAGCCCACCAGCUCGCUCAACAACGCCAACUCCCACUCUUUCAGGAUUAACUACACCCAAAAUUGUCGUGGAUGAUACCAAGAGAACCAAUGAUAACAUAAGCCAGGAGGUGGUUAUGCUAAGAUCUCAAGUUGAAAAUCUUACACGGAAACAGCGAGAGAUGCAAGGCAGCGAAAGAUGUGAUAAAAUCACUUACAGCUCAGUUGAAAGACAUGGCUGAAAGAUUACAUGUUGGAUCAUCUCGGACUAUCAAGCCUCCUUCUCUUAAUUCGGUUGGUUCCUGUCCUGAACACAUUGUCCCUUCUUCUAACACAUUUAACCGUCCAAACAGCCGAGAAACUGAUACUGACGGCCCAAGCACCGUCCCAAUGUUUUGUAACGAGACCAGCACGCCUGUCUUUGAUGAUGCGAGUUACCGACAGCAAGCGAAUCAUGCUGCUGAAUCGAUAAAUAGAACCAGCACUCGAGCAAAAGAAAGUGAUCCCCCCGUAAUGAAAAUGAGUGGGUUGAACAAGAUGAGCCCGGUGUGUACAUCACUCUCACAGCCUUACCGGGAGGGGCAAGGGAUCUCAAACGCGUCCGUUUCAGCAGCCGAAAGCGGUUUAGUGAGAAGCAAGCAGAAGAGUGGUGGGCAGAGAACAGAGGACGAGUUUACGAACAAUACAAUGUACGGAUAGUCGUUGACAAAUCAAGCGUGGGUGUAGGAAGUGAAGACUUGGCUCAUUAAAUUCUUUGCUUUAUCCCGGGUUUUCAUAGGUUUAUUGGGGCUUAUAACAAAACACAAGAGAGAGCCAGAGAGAUUAGGAGUGUUUUUACAUCUUCAUUCAUUAUAGUUUGGGUGUUCUUCUCUUGUAAAUUCUUCUGUAAAUUCUCUAAACAUCCGCUGUCUGUCUCUAUAAAUGCUAUUAAUUGAUGUUGAAGUUGAAGCAGUACUAAUGGGUUGGAGCAGAUUGUGAAGCAAACAAGGAGGGUGUGUAUAAGAGAAAACAACACAUUAUGUAGUGAUUGGAAUUACA